RNAcentral lists this ribosomal RNA (395 nucleotides) under uncultured bacterium. Its description in RNAcentral is "partial 16S ribosomal RNA". It matches the Rfam family "Bacterial small subunit ribosomal RNA", at positions 523 to 918 of the family's 1533-position model. The record is from RNAcentral.
AUACGUAGGGUGCAAGCGUUAAUCGGAAUUACUGGGCGUAAAGCGUGCGCAGGCGGUUUUGUAAGUCAGCGGUGAAAUACCCGGGCUCAACCUGGGAACUGCCUUUGGCACUGCAAGGCUAGAGUACGGCAGAGGGGGAUAGAAUUUCGGCUGACUCAGUGAAAUGCGUAGAUAUACGGAGGAACACCGAUGGCGAAGGCAAUCCCCUGGGCCUGUACUGACGCUCAUGCACGAAAGCGUGGGGAGCAAACAGGAUUAGAUACCCUGGUAGUCCACGCCCUAAACGAUGUCAACUGGUUGUUGGGUCUUCAUUGACUCAGUAACGAAGCUAACGCGUGAAGUUGACCGCCUGGGGAGUACGGCCGCAAGGUUGAAACUCAAAUGAAUUGACGGGG